GACGAACGCUGGCGGCGCGCCUAACACAUGCAAGUCGAACGAGCGAGAGAGAGCUUGCUUUCUUGAGCGAGUGGCGAACGGGUGAGUAACGCGUGAGGAACCUGCCUCAAAGAGGGGGACAACAGUUGGAAACGACUGCUAAUACCGCAUAAGCCCACGGUGCCGCAUGGCACCGAGGGAAAAGGAGCAAUCCGCUUUGAGAUGGCCUCGCGUCCGAUUAGCUAGUUGGUGUGGUAACGGCCCACCAAGGCGACGAUCGGUAGCCGGACGGAGAGGUUGAACGGCCACAUUGGGACUGAGACACAGCCCAGACUCCUACGGGAGGCAGCAGAGGGGAAUAUUGCACAAUGGAGGAAACCCUGAUGCAGCGACGCCGCGUAGAGGAAGAAGGUCUUCGGAUUGUGAACUCCUGUUGUUGGGGAAGAUAAUGACGGUACCCAACAAGGAAGUGACGGCUAACUACGUG
RNAcentral lists this ribosomal RNA (466 nucleotides) under uncultured bacterium. RNAcentral's name for it is "partial 16S ribosomal RNA". It matches the Rfam family "Bacterial small subunit ribosomal RNA", at positions 28 to 507 of the family's 1533-position model. The record is from RNAcentral.